CCAACAGUGUGGGCUCCUAAGCGCUUCCCCACCACUUAAGUUCUGUGUCUUCAGCAGAUCCAGGACUGCCGCUGCUUUUUGAGAAACCUGCACUCUCCCUUCUUCAUCUUUCUAUUUCUUGUGGGCUCCUCUGCAGCUUUGAUAAUUCAGGUUUCUGUGACCAAUUGCUUUGGAAUGGCUCAGGCAUAUGCUUUCAAUAACUGUUUUUGAUUUGAAAUAAACAGGCUUC
Molecule: long non-coding RNA, 229 nt
Filed under: Bos taurus (domestic cattle)
Lineage: Eukaryota; Metazoa; Chordata; Mammalia; Artiodactyla; Bovidae
Description: long non-coding RNA NONBTAT019652
Source: RNAcentral